GACGAACGCUGGCGGCGUGCCUAAUACAUGCAAGUCGAGCGGACGAAUCGAAAGCUUGCUUUUGUUUCGUUAGCGGCGGACGGGUGAGUAACACGUGGGCAACCUGCCCUGUAGACGGGGAUAACACCGAGAAAUCGGUGCUAAUACCGGAUAACACGAAAUGUCGCAUGACGUUUCGUUGAAAGACGGCGCAAGCUGCCGCUACAGGAUGGGCCCGCGGCGCAUUAGCUAGUUGGUGAGGUAACGGCUCACCAAGGCGACGAUACGUAGCCGACCUGAGAGGGUGAUCGGCCACACUGGGACUGAGACACGGCCCAGACUCCUACGGGAGGCAGCAGUAGGGAAUCUUCCGCAAUGGGCGAAAGUCUGACGGAGCAACGCCGCGUGAGCGAAGAAGGCCUUCGGGUCGUAAAGCUCUGUUGUUAGGGAAGAACAAGUAACGCAGUAACUGGCGUUACCGUGACGGUACCUAACGAGAAAGCCACGGCUAACUACGUG
This 498-nucleotide ribosomal RNA is filed under the name uncultured bacterium. Its description in RNAcentral is "partial 16S ribosomal RNA". It matches the Rfam family "Bacterial small subunit ribosomal RNA", at positions 28 to 507 of the family's 1533-position model. The record is from RNAcentral.